Molecule: long non-coding RNA, 1063 nt
Organism: Amphiprion ocellaris (clown anemonefish)
Lineage: Eukaryota; Metazoa; Chordata; Actinopteri; Pomacentridae
Exons: 2
Source: RefSeq, a predicted model, not a curated record
CUAAACAGGAAACGGUUGAAAAAUGGGCUGCAUUUAUCUAUCAUUGCACAAUAACUUGUUGCGUCCCGUAUUGAUUCAAUACGGGACGCAAGUUGUUCCGUAUUUUCAUAAAUGCCCCGUACACGUCUGUCACACACUCAUCAAAACUGUCUAAUGAACAAAAUAAAACACAGCAAAUAUUAAGGGCAGCCAUUUUCGUCUUUGUAGGACCUAUGCAGCGAGGACCCGAUGCCAGGUCCAGUGGACAGACUUCAGACGUCUCUGUGUGUCCGUCCUGUCUCUGGUUGCCAGGUUACAGACGCUGCUGCACCCGCAUGUUUAAAAAUGUCUACACCUGAAACUCCACCACGUCUAAAGAAGCAAAAACGUUUGCAAAUGUACAGACUGGAGUGGGAAGAGUGGAACCCCUGGCAAUGGGUACAAGGCAAACUGUGUUUUCUGUUGCUCAUGGACUGGCUGAAGUAAGGCAGCAUCAGGAGACAAACAUGGAGGAAAUAUGAGAACAGAGAGAACCCAACCAGCAGGUCACAGUUUAUCAUCAUCUAAUCAUCUCCUGAGGUCCAUAUGGUCUCUCUCUAUCUCCCCACACAUCCACCAACCACUGGAACACAUCUCCAAAGUUCUGCUGGACCAGCUCAGCUUCCCCUCAGAAGAAGUGCUGCCACCUGCCAGAUGAAGGAGCCUUUUGAGAGGCAGCUGGCAUCGUGAUUGGACUGUACUUUGGUCUGUUCCAAUCCAGCUUCAGCUCCAGAGACGGCAGGCGGGACGAGUCAACGGAGGCCUGGUGGACGAAGGCAUGCAGCUGAGUACAAUCCAGAAAACAACAGAGGAGGAGUGCAACGGCUCAGGGCCAGAACAGAGUAGCAUCGUAUGUCUCUUAGAAAACAUCAUAGUAUAGCCUUUGGUAUGAAGAAACGCCAUCAUAUACAUCGUAUAUUGUACAAAUACCAAGUCAAAGGAAAGAGACACACAUUGUAGAAUUGUAGUAAUUGUGGGCUGACUGAUUUACUGAUUAUCAGUAUUUUAUUUUUUACUGAUUUAUGGUAAUAAAUCCAUUUUAAAA